Molecule: ribosomal RNA, 253 nt
Filed under: uncultured bacterium
Lineage: Bacteria
Description: partial 16S ribosomal RNA
Rfam family: Bacterial small subunit ribosomal RNA
Source: RNAcentral
UACGUAGGGGGCAAGCGUUAUCCGGAUUUACUGGGUGUAAAGGGGGCGCAGACGGCGAUGCAAGCCAGGAGUGAAAGCCCGGGGCCCAACCCCGGAACUGCUCUGGAAACUGUGCGGCUAGAGUACUGGAGGGGCAGGCGGAAUUCCUGGUGUAGCGGUGAAAUGCGUAGAUAUCAGGAGGAACACCGGCGGCGAAGGCGGCCUGCUGGACCGUGACUGACGUUGAGGCUCGAGAGCGUGGGGAGCAAACAGG